Molecule: non-coding RNA, 135 nt
Organism: Brachypodium distachyon (stiff brome)
Lineage: Eukaryota; Viridiplantae; Streptophyta; Magnoliopsida; Poales; Poaceae
Source: Rfam
CAUAUACUCCCUCCGUCCAACAAAAGAUUCUCAAAUUUGUCAAAAUUUGGAUGUAUCUAGACAUGACUUAGUGUAUAGAUGCAUUCAAAUUUAGUCAAAGUUGAGACAUUCUUUGUUGGACGGAGGAAGUACAUA